This is a small nuclear RNA of Microtus ochrogaster (prairie vole), 107 nucleotides long. The record is from Ensembl. NCBI's taxonomy places the organism in Eukaryota, Metazoa, Chordata, Mammalia, Rodentia, Cricetidae.
GUAUUCUUUUCAGCAGUGCAUAUACUAACAUUGGAACAACACAAUACAGAGAUUAGCUUGGUCCUGUGAAGGAUGACAUGCUAAUCUGUGAAACAGUCCUUGUUUUU